Molecule: ribosomal RNA, 202 nt
Filed under: uncultured eukaryote
Lineage: Eukaryota
Description: partial small subunit ribosomal RNA
Source: RNAcentral
UUAAUCCAGGCUAUCAUCCACUUCGGAAGAGGCUCGAACGAGUACCAAAUAGGCAAAUUCUUGAUUCCAGGCGUGAUUGUUAUCGUUCCGGUGCAAUUAUCCCCCAAUAUGCUGAAUGCAAGUUGGCAGAAGUCUCUGUACGCUUUCUCCGACUUAUUAUCGUCAUACUUGUCAUAUCCAAUGUUAGCGUUGUAUGGUGGGU